GCUGCCCUCUUUCUUCGUGCCUAAUACAUGCAAGUCGAGCGAACAGAUGAGGAGCUUGCUCCUCUGACGUUAGCGGCGGACGGGUGAGUAACACGUGGAUAACCUACCUAUAAGACUGGGAUAACUUCGGGAAACCGGAGCUAAUACCGGAUAAUAUAUUGAACCGCAUGGUUCAAUAGUGAAAGACGGUUUUGCUGUCACUUAUAGAUGGAUCCGCGCCGCAUUAGCUAGUUGGUAAGGUAACGGCUUACCAAGGCAACGAUGCGUAGCCGACCUGAGAGGGUGAUCGGCCACACUGGAACUGAGACACGGUCCAGACUCCUACGGGAGGCAGCAGUAGGGAAUCUUCCGCAAUGGGCGAAAGCCUGACGGAGCAACGCCGCGUGAGUGAUGAAGGUCUUCGGAUCGUAAAACUCUGUUAUUAGGGAAGAACAAAUGUGUAAGUAACUAUGCACGUCUUGACGGUACCUAAUCAGAAAGCCACGGCUAACUACGUG
This 497-nucleotide ribosomal RNA is filed under the name uncultured bacterium. Its description in RNAcentral is "partial 16S ribosomal RNA". It matches the Rfam family "Bacterial small subunit ribosomal RNA", at positions 36 to 507 of the family's 1533-position model. The record is from RNAcentral.